AUGCUGCCCCCGGCCGCCCGCCUCGCGGCCCGCCGCCUCCUCGGCCUCGCCUCCGCCUCCGCCUCACAGUCGGCCGCCCGACGCCUCUCCCCGUCUCCGUUGCAGAUCUCCUCCCCCGCGGCCGCGGCCGCCACGGGUUACUUCUCCCGGACCUUCUCUUCCGCGCUUAACUACCACAUCGAUUCGCCGGACAACAACCCGAACAUGCCGUGGGAGUUCACCAAGGCCAACAUGGAGAAGGUUAACGAAAUCCUAUCUCAUUACCCAAGCAACUACAAGCAAUCUGGUAUUAUUCCAAUGCUUGAUCUUGCACAGCAGCAGCAUGGUGGAUGGGUCCCGGUUGCAGCAAUGGACGCUAUUGCUAAAAUAGUUGGAGUUGCACCGAUCAGGGUCUAUGAAGUUGCAACAUUUUACUCAAUGUUCAAUCGGACCAAGGUGGGAAAAUACCACCUUUUGGUGUGUGGAACUACACCUUGUAUGAUUCGUGGUUCGCGUGAUAUCGAAGAUGCCCUGUUAAAACACCUUGGAGUUAAACGGAACGAGGUGACAAGCGAUGGUUUAUUUUCUGUUGGGGAAAUGGAAUGCAUGGGUUGCUGUGUGAACGCUCCCAUGAUUGCUGUGGCUGACUAUACCAAAGGUUCAGAUGGUUACACAUACAAUUAUUAUGAAGACCUCACUCCCAAGCGAGUCGUUGAGCUUGUUGAAAUGCUGAGAAGAGGGGAAACGCCCCCUCGUGGCACCCAGAACCCAGAGCGGAAAAACUGUGGUCCUGCUGGAGGGAUGACCACCUUGCUAGGCGAGCCAAAGCCUCCCCCAUGCAGGGACCUAGAUGCCUGCUAG
This 840-nucleotide ribosomal RNA is filed under the name Triticum aestivum (bread wheat). RNAcentral describes it as "partial small subunit ribosomal RNA". Lineage: Eukaryota; Viridiplantae; Streptophyta; Magnoliopsida; Poales; Poaceae. The record is from RNAcentral.